This is a long non-coding RNA of Aegilops tauschii subsp. strangulata, 2886 nucleotides long. RefSeq lists it as uncharacterized. NCBI's taxonomy places the organism in Eukaryota, Viridiplantae, Streptophyta, Magnoliopsida, Poales, Poaceae. The record is from RefSeq and is a predicted model, not a curated record.
ACCACACCGGCACACCGACCCCGAUCGACCCCCACCCCACCAAACUCUCUCUCUCUCUCCUCUCAUCCACAGCCGCCGCCGCACUCAUCCGCCCGGAGAUCCCACCGGCCGGCGCCCUCUGCCCUCAUCCCCUCCACCUUCCCCCACCUUCUAUCCAUCUAUAUGCCCCUAGACUAGAUCGAGCAGGCGGGCGCCGUCAGAUCGGGACCGGUCAUGCCCACGGCAGGGCAUCUGGAUCUGCACCGCCGUCGAUCCAGGACGCGACGUUCGGCUCCUUCUCCACAUCCACGCCAAGGGUGACGAGGAGUGAGGGGGCUUCCUCCCCGCGCUCUCUCCCGGCGGUGCUUGGGGCUCCGACGAGCGGAGGCGAGCGGCGACAGGAGAAGCUCCGCGGCGACGCCCUGAUGGCCAUCAGCCAUGGCCGUUAUGGCUUCGCGUGCGCCCGCGAGCGGCUGCGCGUGGCUGGAUGGUGCGCACGCGGCCGCCGACCUUCGCCCUCUAGCGCGCCGCACCCCAGCCCCGCCGCCGGUCCCACCCCCACCGCCGCGCGCUGCCGCCCCUCUCCCUCCCUGACCCCCCAGCGCCGCAGCACCUCCCAUCCCCUUCUCCUUCCCAACCCAGCGGACGGCCAGAGGAGGAGGAGGAGGAGCUGCCUUCUCCCACCCUCCCCUGCAGCAGUGAGCCCUCUACAAUGGAGACGGCGCCAUCUCGCCGUGCACGCCCCCAAUCUGGACGGUGGAGCAGAAGCCCGCGCCCCUCCUCCCCACCACGGCACAUCCUCUCCAGGUCGCCAGAUCCGACUUAUAUCCCUGCCCGCCGUGGUACCACCUGAGAGCGAUUUAGUGCUGACACUCUUGGUUCUAUGGAUUGAAAUAGUCUAGUAUACAGGUACGCAUUAGAAUUUAGUUAUUGGUCAUGGAUUCAUGAUUCUCCCAUGUGUAUUUAAGUUUAGUCAUAGCAAUUUAAGUACAAAAGAACAAAAGAUCUGUAGACUAAAGUUCCUAAAGCAAAAUUGUUAUGGGAUUCAGUUACUAUAUAUACAAGUAAAUGCUUAGUUAAUGAAAAGAAAAGGUUGCUGCAGCGCCUGUCCGAGCAAGUUUUUGGUUGCCUGUGCCACCAAUAUACACACAACUUUUGGUUGUUAAAGCAAAACUAUUAUGGGAUUAAGUUACUACAAGUAAAUUUUAAGUUAACUACACGCAAGACUGCUUUUUUUGGUUGCCUGCCGACCAAAUUUUGAGAGAUAGACUCAUUAUAGUGAAUUGGCAAGAAAAGGUUUGCAAGUAUUGAUCAUGCAGGUAGUUGCUGGUGGUUGUGUUGUAGCAGCUGCAUUAUCUAUGUUCCUGGAGAAUCUUGAUAAAACUCUUGGAUCCAAGGAACAAAUGGUGAUUGCUGAAUUUGCUGUCUUUGUUCAUCAUACCAAAAGUUUGAUCAGUUAUACUUUUGUAUGUAUGGUACUUGCAUCCUGAACCACAUGGUUUACUAAUGGGAGUGUGGCUGUGUGAUGACAAGUCCUCUCUAUUUUUUUAGUUUUCAUGAUUAGUAAAAUCCUUGCAGCCGGUAGUCUUUGAAAGAUUUUGCCCCUGUAAUAUCUACAAUGCUGAUUCUAGAUUGCUCUGCUAAGAGUUCAGUUGAGCAUGGCUUGGGUGCUGAUCUUGUUUGUCAUUGAUGCGUGCUAAACAGUAACUGAACCUGUUAAAUUUUGUAAGGAUGCAAAAACAUGUGGACACAUAUAUCUACUAUCUUAUACUAUUGUUGGUACUUUGAGGCCUCACAGUGUGGUUCAUGUCUAGCAUACAUCGCUCUAUGUGAAUUUCUCGUCAAUAUAGAAUGUUUGGCGAUAUAAUCAGGUUUCUUGCUUGCGAUAUAUCAUGUUUCUCGCUUUCUAAAAUGAACCUUGGUGGUCUCAGAAUAUUGUCAUGCGAAUGUCAUCAGUGAUAGAGGCAAUCUUCACAUGAUAAUAUUUCUUGCUGUUGUAUAUAGGCUUGUAGGCAUUUUGUUGUGGCAUAUAUGCUUCUAUAUUGAAGUGCGUAUGAAACAUGAAAUUAUUUCAUUGUCUAGAUAAAAGCUUUUGGCUAUAAUGUGAUUGACAGAUAUGACUAUUGAUUUGAAGUCAUAGUGUCAAUAUUGCACUUUCAACUUUAUGGAUAAAUAUAAUACAGUCUACAGUGUCAACUGCAUCUGCUAUACAUGUCCAUGCACUCCCCUUACUUUGCUGAAUAUGUGCACGAAGAGAAUUUCAAUAUCUUGUGUAAGCCAACUGCGAAGAUUUCGAUUGGUGCAUGAAUAUUCUGUGCAACACAAAGAGCUUAUAUGCAAGGAAGGCGCUCCAACUCAGCCAGCUCCAGCGACGGACCAUUUGGAAACGAAUCUUCACCUUCGUAUCCGCCUCUAGAGCCAACAACAACAACACCAGCAACGGGAACAAUACUGCUGUCAUGCAGCCGGCGGCGAACAGUGGCGGAUCAUCAAGAACAGGGAGUCCAUGGCAUGGUCGUGGGCGCAAAAGCAGGCUUACUCAAACCAGUUGGAUAUGGAAUUGGCCCAGCUGCGCAGGGAGAACCAGAUGCUCAUCCAGCGGCACAGGGAUCUCAUAAACAAAUCUUGGGUUCAUAAAUGGGAGAAGCACAUAAGGGAGAAGAAGAUGAUUGCAAGGAUGGAGAGGGAGCAAAUCAUUUGGAGGGAUAGAAUCCCACUGUUUGGUGUUUUUAUGCAUUUUUGUUUGCUUUCAACUGUGUUUGCACUAGCUUGGAAUAAGUGACUAGGCAAUAAGUGUAGAUGUAUGGGUAUGCUCUAAUGCUCCUGGUUUACUAUAAAUCUUCGAUUUGGAAUGAUGUGUAAUGCUGCUGGUUUAUUACAAAUCUGGGCUUGUUUUAGUUUUUAGAA